UUCCGGUUGAUCCUGCCGGAGGUUACUGCUAUCGAGGUUCGACUAAGCCAUGCGAGUCGAAUGUAGCAAUACAUGGCGAACUGCUCAGUAACACGUGGACAACCUGCCCUUAGGUUGGGUAUAAACCCGGGAAACUGGGUAUAAUACCCGAUAGGUCUCGAUUGCUGGAAUGCAUCGAGAUUUAAAGCUCCGGCGCCUAAGGAUGGGUCUGCGGCCUAUCAGGUAGUAGUGGGUGUAGCGUACCUACUAGCCUACGACGGGUACGGGUUGUGAGAGCAAGAGCCCGGAGAUGGAUUCUGAGACACGAAUCCAGGCCCUACGGGGUGCAGCAGGCGCGAAAACUUUACAAUGCUGGCAACAGCGAUAAGGGAACCUCGAGUGCCAGGUUACAAAUCUGGCUGUCGAGAUGCCUAAAWAGCAKWUCAUAGCAAGGGCCGGGCAAGACCGGUGCCAGCCGCCGCGSUAACACCGGCGGCUCGAGUGGUAACCGUUAUUAUUGGGUCUAAAGGGUCUGUAGCCGGCCGGAUAAGUCUCUUGAAAAAUCUGGCAGCUUAACUGUCAGGCUUUCAGGAGAUACUGUCUGGCUCGAGGCCGGGAGAGGUGAGAGGUACUUCAGGGGUAGGGGUGAAAUCUUGUAAUCCUUGAAGGACCACCAGUGGCGAAGGCGUCUCACCAGAACGGACCUGACGGCAAGGGACGAAAGCUAGGGGCACGAACCGGAUUAGAUACCCGGGUAGUCCUAGCCGUAAACGAUACUCGCUAGGUGUCGGCCACGGUGCGACCGUUGUCGGUGCCGUAGGGAAGCCGUGAAGCGAGCCACCUGGGAAGUACGGCCGCAAGGCUGAAACUUAAAGGAAUUGGCGGGGGAGCACCACAACGGGUGGAGCUUGCGGUUUAAUUGGAUUCAACGCCGGG
This 915-nucleotide ribosomal RNA is filed under the name Methanosaeta sp. enrichment culture clone AB10. Its description in RNAcentral is "bacterial SSU rRNA". It matches the Rfam family "Archaeal small subunit ribosomal RNA", at positions 1 to 922 of the family's 1478-position model. The record is from RNAcentral. Lineage: Archaea; Methanobacteriati; Methanobacteriota; Methanomicrobia; Methanotrichales; Methanotrichaceae.